This 465-nucleotide ribosomal RNA is filed under the name uncultured bacterium. Its description in RNAcentral is "partial 16S ribosomal RNA". It matches the Rfam family "Bacterial small subunit ribosomal RNA", at positions 338 to 795 of the family's 1533-position model. The record is from RNAcentral.
CCUACGGGAUGCAGCAGUGGGGAAUAUUGCGCAAUGGGCGAAAGCCUGACGCAGCGACGCCGCGUGAGGGAUGAAGGUCUUCGGAUCGUAAACCUCUGUCAGCAGGGAAGAACGGUCACUGUGCUAAUCAGCAGUGAAUUGACGGUACCUGAAAAGGAAGCACCGGCUAACUACGUGCCAGCAGCCGCGGUAAUACGGAGGGGGCGAGCGUUAAUCGGAAUUACUGGGCGUAAAGCGCUCGUAGGCGGUAUGUCAAGUAAAGGGUGAAAUCCCCGGGCUCAACGGGGGAACUGCAUUUGAAACUGGCAAACUGGAGUGUGUGAGAGGAUAGUGGAAUUCCAGGUGUAGGGGUGAAAGCCGUAGAUAGAUGGAGGAACAUCAGUGGCGAAGGCGACUAUCUGGCACAUAACUGACGCUGAGGAGCGAAAGCGUGGGUAGCAAACAGGAUUAGAUACCCGGGUAGUC